Molecule: ribosomal RNA, 309 nt
Filed under: uncultured archaeon
Lineage: Archaea
Description: bacterial SSU rRNA
Rfam family: Archaeal small subunit ribosomal RNA
Source: RNAcentral
CGGCCUGAUAAGUCCGCUGUGAAAUCUGGUGGCUCAACCAUCAGAAGGGCGGCGGAUACUAUGAGGCUUGGGACCGGAGGGCGUCGAGGCUAUUCCCGGGGUAGGGGUGAAAUCCAAAAAUCCCGGGAGGAGCACCGGUGGCGAAAGCGCUCGGCGACUACGGGUCCGACGGUGAGGGACGAAAGCCAGGGGAGCAAAGCGGAUUAGAUACCCGCGUAGUCCUGGCCGUUAACGAUGCCCGCUUGAUGUAGGGAAUCUUCCGAGGAUUCCCUGUGCCGAAGGAAAACCGUUAAGCGGGCCGCCUGGGGA